This 267-nucleotide long non-coding RNA is filed under the name Rhinopithecus bieti (black snub-nosed monkey). RNAcentral describes it as "lncRNA (ENSRBIG00000045531.1)". Lineage: Eukaryota; Metazoa; Chordata; Mammalia; Primates; Cercopithecidae. The record is from RNAcentral.
UAAAAAUUGUGUUGAACAUUUAUGUAAAGCUUCUGGAAGGAGAUGGGAAAGACAUCCUUAACCAACUUAAUAGAACUUUCACUUUUAAGGAACUGCAGUGCAGAAACGGAGAAAGCUCACCAAAGAAGAGAAAGGACAUGCUUCACUCAGGUCAAAUUGAACAAGUUCUGCGCCUUAUGCUCCAAGAGAUCCACAAUAAAGAAUAUCAUAAUUUUUCAAACCAGAUGCCCACGUAGAGGUACAUCAUGAUUCUUCAUUUGAAACCAG